CAUUCACCACCGUCCCAUAAGUCAAGGAUGCACCGGCCACUCCUCGCUUGCCUGGGCACCAGAGCCACUGCCCCCUCCUCGCUUGCAUGGGAGUCACCAUCGCUGCCCCCACCCGGACGCCCAGACUUCUUGCCGCCGACGACGUUGAAGGUUCUCCCCCGAGCCUUGCCGCCAAGGUCCGCGUCAGGCGCAGGAGUUAACGGCGAGGCGCCAUUCUGCCGCCGCCGUGCAGUUACAGCCACGAUCCACAUUCGAGCAGUCUGCUGCCUGAUUUUUAGUGCUGAUCAAGGCUUAGAGGCCGUACACCUCACCAACCUGCAGUUCCUGCUUGGUCUGCUAUGUACGGGAAAUAUUAGAUCAUGGAUGACCUGAGACGGAGGUGCCGGAUGAGUCCGGCGUAGAUUUGCUUCAAGUUCAAGCAGAGCGUCAGCGUACGUACUCGUCUCUAAAGUCUCAGAUUCUCUUUAAAACCUCAAUAUAAGAUUGAGUUUCUUAUGUUGUAAUUGGAAUGUUCUCUGAAGAGUUUCGGAGAAUAUUUUGUACUAACCUGACUGUCGCAAUUCUAGAACAUUGAUACAUGCUUGAAUUACCAACCCAUAAAAAACUUGAAUUAUGAUGUAAUUUUGCUGGUUAAUGUGAUGUAUUUUUCUGGCUGAUCGAGUUUCCAUGCCUUCCUAAUUCCAAAAUUCAUUGUCCGCAUAUGAAGUCAUUUUUGCCUGUGGACUAGGUGGUUCAGUUCUUGCUUUACUCAUCUCUUUCAGACCAUAGGUUGGACCAUGACUUUACAGUAAAUGAUCAACCAGAUAUUGACAUUCUAAUAGAUGAGAAAACUUUCGAUGCCAAAUAAUUUCUUAAUAAUAGUUACACUGUGCAUCCUUUGUCUGAGAUAGGUAAUUAUGAAGAUGUUUAUGAGAUGGAGGACGUUAGGUCAGCAGAUGCAAAUGUUGAAAAUACCACUCACAAAUUUGAUGCUGCUCGAAAAACGGAUAUUGAUCUUGCAAGCCCUAUGUUUCAUCAAGAAUAUAAAAAGUACGAGCUGAGAAUUUUCCAACUGAAGAACUGAUGAUAUUAAGCCAAAGUUCUUACAGAAAGGUCCACACUAAACAGAAAAAUACAGAACAGCCCAAAAGGACCCCGAUGUCGACGCCGGCGGGAAGAACGCAUCGAUGGUGCGCGCCGCUGCGCCUCCACUCAGACCUUGGAUCGGUAGGUGCCCUCUGCGGACGGGAAGUCUUCGAAACUCGGCUCCGGAGAGCCUCCAUCCUGCACCGCCACGAGAAUCGCCAUCGCCUUGAGCAACAUCAUCUCCUCCUUCGAUUUCUUCACAAAGCCGGCGCCGCCGCACCUCGAAAGC
This is a long non-coding RNA of Lolium rigidum, 1354 nucleotides long. RefSeq lists it as uncharacterized. Lineage: Eukaryota; Viridiplantae; Streptophyta; Magnoliopsida; Poales; Poaceae. The transcript has 3 exons. The record is from RefSeq and is a predicted model, not a curated record.